ACUGCAUGGUAUAGGCAUUUACGAAUGAGGUCCUUAAGUCUCUCCUAUAUUUCAUGAAACAGUUCUUCAUUCAUUUAAAAAAAACUAGUGAUGGCUUUUCUAAUUU
Elaeis guineensis (African oil palm) is the source of this 106-nucleotide non-coding RNA. The record is from RefSeq and is a predicted model, not a curated record. NCBI's taxonomy places the organism in Eukaryota, Viridiplantae, Streptophyta, Magnoliopsida, Arecales, Arecaceae.